GAUAAGUAGAGUGGCGUCCGGGUGAGUAACACGUAGGUAAUCUACCUUUGGGUGGGGAAUAACGCAGGGAAACUUGCGCUAAUACCGCAUAAUGCAGCGGCACCACAUGGUGACAGUUGUUAAAGCGGGGGAUUUUCGGACCUCGCGCCUAAAGAGGAGCCUGCGGCAGAUUAGCUAGUUGGUAGGGUAAUGGCUUACCAAGGCGACGAUCUGUAGCCGGCCUGAGAGGGCGGUCGGCCACACUGACACUGACAUACGGGUCAGACUCCUACGGGAGGCAGCAGUCGGGAAUUUUGGGCAAUGGGCGAAAGCCUGACCCAGCAACGCCGCGUGAAGGAUGAAAUCCUUCGGGAUGUAAACUUCGCAAGAAUGGGAAGAAUUAGUAGGGGCUAAUACCCUCUAUGAUGACGGUACCAUUUGUAAGCUCCGGCUAACUCCGUGCCAGCAGCCGCGGUAAUACGGGGGGAGCAAGCGUUGUUCGGAUUUACUGGGCGUAAAGGGCGCGUAGGCGGUCAGCACAAGUCAGUUGUGAAAUCUC
RNAcentral lists this ribosomal RNA (538 nucleotides) under uncultured bacterium. Its description in RNAcentral is "bacterial SSU rRNA". It matches the Rfam family "Bacterial small subunit ribosomal RNA", at positions 85 to 603 of the family's 1533-position model. The record is from RNAcentral.